This 174-nucleotide unclassified non-coding RNA is filed under the name uncultured Penicillium. RNAcentral's name for it is "sequence contains ITS1". The record is from RNAcentral. Lineage: Eukaryota; Fungi; Ascomycota; Eurotiomycetes; Eurotiales; Aspergillaceae.
CCGAGUGAGGGCCCUCUGGGUCCAACCUCCCACCCGUGUUUAUUCUACCUUGUUGCUUCGGCGGGCCCGCCUCACGGCCGCCGGGGGGCACUCGCCCCCGGGCCCGCGCCCGCCGAAGACACCAAUGAACUCUGUCUGAAGAUUGCAGUCUGAGCAGAUUAGCUAAAUCAGUUA